UAACGCGUGGGUAACCUGCCUCAUACAGGGGGAUAACAGCCGGAAACGGCUGCUAAAACCGCAUAAGCGCACAAGGGCCGCAUGGCCUGGUGUGAAAAACUCCGGUGGUAUGGGAUGGGCCCGCGUCUGAUUAGCUAGUUGGCGGGGGAGAGGCCCACCAAGGCGACGAUCAGUAGCCGACCUGAGAGGGUGGCCGGCCACAUUGGGACUGAGACACGGCCCAAACUCCUACGGGAGGCAGCAGUGGGGAAUAUUGCACAAUGGGGGAAACCCUGAUGCAGCGACGCCGCGUGAGCGAAGAAGUAUUUCGGUAUGUAAAGCUCUAUCAGCAGGGAAGAAAAAUGACGGUACCUGAGUAAGAAGCACCGGCUAAAUACGUGCCAGCAGCCGCGGUAAUACGUAUGGUGCAAGCGUUAUCCGGAUUUACUGGGUGUAAAGGGAGCGCAGGCGGUGUGGCAAGUCUGAAGUGAAAGCCCAGGGCUUAACCCUGGGACUGCUUUGGAAACUGUUAGACUAGAGUGCUGGAGAGGUAAGUGGAAUUCCUAGUGUAGCGGUGAAAUGCGUAGAUAUUAGGAGGAACACCAGUGGCGAAGGCGGCUUACUGGACAGUAACUGACGUUGAAGCUCGAAAGCGUGGGGAGCAAACAGGAUUAGAUACCCUGGUAGUCCACGCUGUAAACGAUGGAUACUAGGUGU
Molecule: ribosomal RNA, 696 nt
Filed under: uncultured bacterium
Lineage: Bacteria
Description: bacterial SSU rRNA
Rfam family: Bacterial small subunit ribosomal RNA
Source: RNAcentral